This 522-nucleotide small RNA is filed under the name Arabidopsis thaliana (thale cress). Its description in RNAcentral is "ATSL183140". Lineage: Eukaryota; Viridiplantae; Streptophyta; Magnoliopsida; Brassicales; Brassicaceae. The record is from RNAcentral.
AAUUAUAAAUCUAAAUAUGUCAAUUAAUUUUGGACCUAAAUAUUCAAAACAACUAAACUAUUCAAAAAUUAUUUGUUAUGUUUGUCAAAAUUUAGUAAAAUAUAUUCAAAUAUAAUUAAAUUUAUUAAAACUUAACAAAUUUAAAAGUUUUUUUUGUUUGGAGACCCGCUAUCUACAUACAAAAUACCCGUUUCUAAUUUUUGGGUAUUUUUACGGCCUGAAACUUUUUAUCCAAACUGACCCAAACCCACCUGGACCCGACCCGAACCAGAACCGAAUAUUUAGAAUUAUUCUAUUGGGUAGUAAAUCAUAUACCAUUAAUCCUAAACCUGAACGGGUUCUACCCGAACUCGAAUGGGUUACUCAUAUGUCCAGCCCUAUUCUCUGAUUUAAUUAUCUAAAAACUCCCAAAAAAAACAUAUGUUUCGCUAAUUACUUUUUAUUCGAAAUUUUUUGCAUCCUCUUCUGCCAAAAUCAUUAUAUAAAACAUCCCAAAACCCUUGGAAUAAUGAUUCCAUAAAU